RNAcentral lists this non-coding RNA (45 nucleotides) under Schistosoma mansoni. Lineage: Eukaryota; Metazoa; Platyhelminthes; Trematoda; Strigeidida; Schistosomatidae. The record is from RNAcentral.
AUCCGGCUGACGAGUCUCAAAUAGGACGAAACACGCGUCCUGGAU